AGUGAACGCUGGCGGUAUGCCUAACACAUGCAAGUCGAACGGCAGCACAGUAAGAGCUUGCUCUUACGGGUGGCGAGUGGCGGACGGGUGAGGAAUACAUCGGAAUCUACUUUUUCGUGGGGGAUAACGGAGGGAAACUUACGCUAAUACCGCAUAUGACCUACGGGUGAAAGCAGUGGAUCUUCGGACCUUGCGCGAUUGAAUGAGCCGAUGUCGGAUUAGCUAGUUGGCGGGGUAAAGGCCCACCAAGGCGACGAUACGUAGCUGGUCUGAGAGGAUGAUCAGCCACACUGGAACUGAGACACGGUCCAGACUCCUACGGGAGGCAGCAGUGGGGAAUAUUGGACAAUGGGCGCAAGCCUGAUCCAGCCAUACCGCGUGUGUGAAGAAGGCCUUCGGGUUGUAAAGCCCUUUUGUUGGGAAAGAACAGCAGCAGGUUAAUACCCCGCUGUUCUGACGGUACCCAAAGAAUAAGCACCGGCUAACUUCGUG
RNAcentral lists this ribosomal RNA (492 nucleotides) under uncultured bacterium. RNAcentral describes it as "partial 16S ribosomal RNA". It matches the Rfam family "Bacterial small subunit ribosomal RNA", at positions 29 to 507 of the family's 1533-position model. The record is from RNAcentral.